This 450-nucleotide RNase P RNA is filed under the name Acidovorax sp. Root217. RNAcentral's name for it is "bacterial RNase P". It matches the Rfam family "Bacterial RNase P class A". From Rfam's summary of the family: Ribonuclease P (RNase P) is a ubiquitous endoribonuclease, found in archaea, bacteria and eukarya as well as chloroplasts and mitochondria. Its best characterised activity is the generation of mature 5'-ends of tRNAs by cleaving the 5'-leader elements of precursor-tRNAs. Lineage: Bacteria; Pseudomonadati; Pseudomonadota; Betaproteobacteria; Burkholderiales; Comamonadaceae. RNAcentral also lists the same sequence under 1 other name. The record is from RNAcentral.
GAAGCGCGCCAGACCGCCGCUGGUGCAAUCUGGGAAACCAGGCACUGGAGGAACGUCCGGACUGCACAGGACAGCGUAGCAGCUAACGGCUGCCCACCGCGAGGUGAGGAUCAGAGCAACAGAGACGAGUCUAGACAGGUGCCUGUACGAGGUGUUCUGUGAGGCGCCAGCGCAAGCUGGCGAGAGGACAGCGAGAGCUGUCCGAACCUGGCGAAAGCCAGGUCCGAACAGCCACCCCAAACAGGCAGCGGGCAUGCCCGCAGCCUGUUUGGGGUGAAACGGGCAAUCUCUACGCGCAGCAAUACCAAGUAGGCCAACGUUGAUGUGGUUCCGCAGAGUUGGCGGGUAGGUAGCAUCGAGCCGUGGUGGCGACACCCGGCCCAGAGUAAUGGCGGUCACGCCGCGGGCAACUGCGGUGCACAGAAUCCGGCUUAUCGGCGCGCUUCACAC